AUUUAAAAAAUGUUUUUCUCUUGUCUUCUUGGAAAAUGCCAUUCGAGAUUGACCUGCAGCAAUAAAAAUGCAUAUGUAUAAACAGCAAGAGACACUGAAGAAAGUGGAUACAAAGAGAAGAUAUCUAUUGAUAUUGAAAGGAUUUCAGGCUCCCAUCCAUAACCUGGAGUCAAACUAGAUAUCUCUGAAGACCUUGUCACCUUCUGAUAAUGUAUGACUCUUGAUGCUUCAUGAGUUUCGAGAAGACACCUGACUGCUUCCUCUUUACAUUUCUUGCUAUGUUGGAUAAAUUGAGACUAUGGCAAAAUAGUACUGGAGCAUUCACUAUGACUUCUGCCUUGGUUUACUUUUCUGUAAAAUUGAAGUAAUAAUAAUACCUCCUUAUAGGGUGAUUAUUUGUAUUAAGUAGCCCAAUAGAUUUCAAGUCCUUGGGACAAUACCUGGAAUGUACUGCAUAUGCAAUGAUUGUUAAUUGCCUUCUUAGUCAUUAAAUAUAAUCUCCUAUCAUCAUUACCAUUACCACUGUCAUCCC
This is a long non-coding RNA of Carlito syrichta (Philippine tarsier), 532 nucleotides long. RefSeq lists it as uncharacterized. NCBI's taxonomy places the organism in Eukaryota, Metazoa, Chordata, Mammalia, Primates, Tarsiidae. The transcript is spliced from 3 exons. The record is from RefSeq and is a predicted model, not a curated record.